Molecule: ribosomal RNA, 247 nt
Filed under: uncultured bacterium
Lineage: Bacteria
Description: partial 16S ribosomal RNA
Rfam family: Bacterial small subunit ribosomal RNA
Source: RNAcentral
CGGAAGGUCCGGCGUUAUCCGGAUUAUUGGUUAAGGGAGCGUAGGCCGGAGAUUAAGCGUGUUGUGAAUGUAGAUGCUCAACAUCUGCACUGCAGCGCGAACUGGUUCCUUGAGUACGCAUAAAGUGGGCGGAAUUCGUAGUGUAGCGGUGAAAUGCUUAGAUAUCACGAAGAACUCCGAUUGCGAAGGCAGCUCACUGGGGCGCAACUGACGCUGAAGCUCGAAAGCGCGGGUAUCGAACAGGAUU